UCUUAACCUAUUCUCAAAUUUUAAAUGGGUAAGAAGCCCAGCUCGCUGGGGUGGGGGUGGGGGGGGAAGGCGGGG
Long non-coding RNA from Otolemur garnettii (small-eared galago), 75 nucleotides. RefSeq lists it as uncharacterized. Lineage: Eukaryota; Metazoa; Chordata; Mammalia; Primates; Galagidae. The record is from RefSeq and is a predicted model, not a curated record. The transcript is spliced from 3 exons.